RNAcentral lists this ribosomal RNA (705 nucleotides) under uncultured Bacteroidales bacterium. RNAcentral's name for it is "bacterial SSU rRNA". It matches the Rfam family "Bacterial small subunit ribosomal RNA", at positions 45 to 739 of the family's 1533-position model. The record is from RNAcentral. Lineage: Bacteria; Pseudomonadati; Bacteroidota; Bacteroidia; Bacteroidales.
GGCUUAACACAUGCAAGUCGAGGGGCAGCAUGGUCUUAGCUUGCUAAGACUGAUGGCGACCGGCGCACGGGUGAGUAACACGUAUCCAACCUGCCGUCUACUCUUGGACAGCCUUCUGAAGGGAAGAUUAAUACAAGAUGGCAUCAUGAGUCCACAUGUUCACAUGAUUAAAGGUAUUCCGGUAGACGAUGGGGAUGCGUUCCAUUAGAUAGUAGGCGGGGUAACGGCCCACCUAGUCUUCGAUGGAUAGGGGUUCUGAGAGGAAGGUCCCCCACAUUGGAACUGAGACACGGUCCAAACUCCUACGGGAGGCAGCAGUGAGGAAUAUUGGUCAAUGGGCGAGAGCCUGAACCAGCCAAGUAGCGUGAAGGAUGACUGCCCUAUGGGUUGUAAACUUCUUUUAUAAAGGAAUAAAGUCGGGUAUGCAUACCCGUUUGCAUGUACUUUAUGAAUAAGGAUCGGCUAACUCCGUGCCAGCAGCCGCGGUAAUACGGAGGAUCCGAGCGUUAUCCGGAUUUAUUGGGUUUAAAGGGAGCGUAGAUGGAUGUUUAAGUCAGUUGUGAAAGUUUGCGGCUCAACCGUAAAAUUGCAGUUGAUACUGGAUAUCUUGAGUGCAGUUGAGGCAGGCGGAAUUCGUGGUGUAGCGGUGAAAUGCUUAGAUAUCACGAAGAACUCCGAUUGCGAAGGCAGCCUGCUAAGCUGCAA